This 301-nucleotide long non-coding RNA is filed under the name Bemisia tabaci. Its description in RNAcentral is "lncRNA ENSSSA3NGG008586". Lineage: Eukaryota; Metazoa; Arthropoda; Insecta; Hemiptera; Aleyrodidae. The record is from RNAcentral.
ACUCAUGAUUUCCUUGAAAUUGAUCUUGCUGACAUUGACCCUCCAAUAUUCAUAGUAACAUCAGCCUGGUUUUGGACGUCCAUAAUAGAGGGCACUGUCGCUAAAGAAAGGGAAUAUCUUUUUAAUAAUGGACUACGAUCAAGUUAUAGUCAAAAUUGUGUCACUCCAUCCGCGCCUUUGCUAGAAGAAAAUGGUCUCUUAAACAACAAUAAUCGCUGUAGUCAAAAUCUAUUCACAAAUUCGCCCCCAAACAAAAAGACUUGCAAGUUAUUGGAGCUGGUUCAAACUGAAGAAAAUUAUG